GAUGAAGAACGUAGCGAAAUGCGAUACGUAAUGUGAAUUGCAGAAUCCAGUGAAUCAUCGAAUCUUUGAACGCACAUUGCGCCCGCCAGUAAUCUGGCGGGCAUGCCUGUCCGAGCGUCAUUUCGAACCGUCAAGCCUGCGGCUUGUGUUGGGGACCUGCGGCUGCGCGCAGGCCCCGAAAACCAGUGGCGGGCUCGCUGUCAUCCCGGGCGUAGUAGUAGACCUCGCCCUGGGCGUGCCGCGGGCGCCGGCCGUUAAGACCAGCCCCAGGGCUACCAAAUAGGUUUGACCUCGGAUCAGGUAGGAAGACCCGCUGAACUUAAGCAUAUCAAUAAGCGGAGGA
Molecule: unclassified non-coding RNA, 343 nt
Filed under: soil metagenome
Description: partial contains 5.8S ribosomal RNA, internal transcribed spacer 2, and large subunit ribosomal RNA
Rfam family: 5.8S ribosomal RNA (bases 1-120)
Source: RNAcentral